This 408-nucleotide ribosomal RNA is filed under the name uncultured bacterium. RNAcentral's name for it is "partial 16S ribosomal RNA". It matches the Rfam family "Bacterial small subunit ribosomal RNA", at positions 28 to 526 of the family's 1533-position model. The record is from RNAcentral.
GACGAACGCUGGCGGCGUGCUUAACACAUGCAAGUCGAACGAAGUGGCGAAAGGGUGAGUAACGCGUAAUCAACCUGCCCUUCAGAGGGGGACAACAGUUGGAAACGACUGCUAAUACCGCAUACUGAAGGAGGGGAUUGCGUCGGGUUAGCUAGUUGGAGGGGUAACGGCCCACCAAGGCGAUGGUCAGUAGGCGGUCUUGGAAGAUGGACGGCCACAAUGGGACUGAGACACGGCCCAGACUGCUACGGGGAGCAGCAGUGGGGAAUCUUCCGCAAUGGACGAAAGUCUGACGGAGCAACGCCGCGUGAGUUAUGACGGCCUUCGGGUUGUAAAGCUCUGUUAAUCGGGACGCGGUACCGGAAUAGAAAGCCACGGCUAACUACGUGCCAGCAGCCGCGGUAAUUC